Molecule: ribosomal RNA, 259 nt
Filed under: uncultured bacterium
Lineage: Bacteria
Description: partial 16S ribosomal RNA
Rfam family: Bacterial small subunit ribosomal RNA
Source: RNAcentral
UUGGCCUACGGGAGGCAGCAGUGAGGAAUAUUGGUCAAUGGGCGAGAGCCUGAACCAGCCAAGUCGCGUGAGGGAGUACUGCCCUAUGGGUUGUAAACCUCUUUUGUCGGGGAGCAAAAGCCGGACGUGUCCGGCUGUGAGAGUACCCGAAGAAAAAGCAUCGGCUAACUCCGUGCCAGCAGCCGCGGUAAUACGUAGGUGGCAAGCGUUGUCCGGAUUUAUUGGGCGUAAAGCGAGUGCAGGCGGUUCAAUAAGUCUG